Molecule: ribosomal RNA, 253 nt
Filed under: uncultured bacterium
Lineage: Bacteria
Description: partial 16S ribosomal RNA
Rfam family: Bacterial small subunit ribosomal RNA
Source: RNAcentral
UACGUAGGGGGCUAGCGUUGUCCGGAAUCAUUGGGCGUAAAGCGCGCGUAGGCGGCCCGGUAAGUCCGCUGUAAAAGUCAAAGGCUCAACCUUUGAAUGUCAGUGGAUACUGCCAGGCUAGAGUCCGGAAGAGGCGAGUGGAACUCCUGGUGUAGCGGUGGAAUGCGCAGAUAUCAGGAAGAACACCCGUGGCGAAGGCGGUUCUCUGGGACGGUACUGACGCUGAGACGCGAAAGCGUGGGGAGCGAACAGG